AACGUCUCAAGUAACCCGCGUCCAGACACGACAGGCCAGCGAUUCCCUCUGUUGCUUCACGAAUGGAGAAGAGGGGGGAGAGAGAGCCAUAAUUCGCAUCCAGCUGUACACAGAGAACACACCACUUGUUGCUAGCCCUUCCCCUGCAUAGUGCUAGCUGCUGCGUCUCCAUUUUCCUUUUUUCAAAUUUAUUUUUAAGUGAAAAGAGGGUUGGACAAUCUUAUUUCAAUUCCUUUUUGAAAUGACGACACACAAAUCACUUGGAUGUUGUGUGAGUAAUUGCGUUUAGACCAACAUGAAAUAUUUCGGGGGGAAAUUUUUGGGGGGGGGUUUCAUUUUUCUCAGCUCUCCCUUCUCCUUUCACGAAUCAAGGACGUACACACACACAAGUGAGCGACGAGCUUUGAAUUACACUUGGUCUUUUGGCGCCAUCUAUGGCUUCGUUAAAUGACGUUUGAUGAUAAUUUGAUUAAAAUUAUAAAAUACUCUAUUGGUAGGGAAUAUUAUUCAAACAAAAAAGGCUCUCUCAACUUUUGAUGGAUGCCACAAUCCACUGAUGUAUCAAUAUUUGUGUUUGGCUAAUCAAGAUAAUCGUCCUUCACGUUUCAAGUUCGUUUUUCUAGCGGAUGUUAAAAGGCUGAGAUCAUCGAUUCACGUUUCCCCUCUACACGAAAAAAAAAAAAAAGUUAUCGACGGAUUUCAAUCUUUUUUAAGGACGUUUCUGUUUUCGUUUGUCCAACAAACUACUCUCGGCCAAAGGUAUAAAAUGUUUGUGACCUUGGAAAAGCUGGUGUUACGUUAGAAGGAGAAAACCACUUGGAGGAAAACUAAUCCGAAAGAAUAAUAAGACAGCGACACGGAUUGAAUAACAAAUGGACACAUUCUUGCGCAAUUAGAGAAACAUGGCCGACUCAUUAAAAUGGAGAGUGGAAAAAAAGCCCCGCCCGUCAACAUUAUCUUCAAAAAAAUAUAAAUUCCCCCCC
Long non-coding RNA from Daphnia pulex (common water flea), 983 nucleotides. RefSeq lists it as uncharacterized. The transcript is spliced from 2 exons. NCBI's taxonomy places the organism in Eukaryota, Metazoa, Arthropoda, Branchiopoda, Diplostraca, Daphniidae. The record is from RefSeq and is a predicted model, not a curated record.